Non-coding RNA from Zootermopsis nevadensis, 4816 nucleotides. The record is from RefSeq and is a predicted model, not a curated record. Lineage: Eukaryota; Metazoa; Arthropoda; Insecta; Blattodea; Termopsidae.
UUGAUAGAUAAAUCAAUAGAUGGCAGAGAUCGAUAUGAAUUAUGUAUGAUAGUGGUCGAUUGCAUCUUGAGAUAACGUAGUUUAAGAUUGUAUAAAGCGAAUGUCCGGUCUUAUUUAUGGUUGAUCAUCUGAAUGCAGUAAGACAGUGGCUUUGCUAAAAGAGUGGUUAUGUGUGCUGUGUUCUUCGAAAUGUGAAUUGUUUUACAUCGGCAAGUUUACCCAAAUCUAGUUAUUUGCGUUCGGCUACAAAUAGAUAUGGCUUAGAACUCCUGCGAAGUUAAUUUGUGACUGGAAGUUUUGUCUUCUGUUGCUGAAGAUCGUGAGGUAACUAACCAUUUUGUAGUAGUGUAACAUAGCAGUCAUUUUUAUCGCAUGUAGAUAUUUUUUGCUAUGGAGAUGUGUUGGAGGCAGGUUAUACGAAGUCGGAGAACUGCAGUCAUGUUUAUUUGUGUAUUUAACGGCGCCAAUUUAAAAAUUGAAAUUAUAUACCGUCAACUGUUUUAUAAUUUGUGAUGUCGAAGAAUCUAUCGUAGCCAACAUAACGGAAUUUCACAGCAGAUACAGAAAAAACUACGGUAAACCUAUUUCAGGGUAAUCGGUUGAAUGGACUAAACUACAAGCAUCAGCUGAAUUUGAAUCAAGAACGCAACAUUCGGUGUGGUUUAAUAAGACAUUUUUGUGGCGACAGUCGGCUGAAUACCAGGAAACAGCAAGGGAAGUAGCAAUGUGAUUGAUGCCAAAGUCAUGUUGUGAGACAGUGAUGACACCACCAUUACCCAUUAUCGUCUGUACAUGCAUGAUGAUGUCAUGGCUCCUGAAGACAUCAUCAGCGUUCAAGCAGCCAUCUUUUGCUUCUCUUGAUUCUGACAUAAGGCAAGCUGAGUGGGCGGAGAAACAGCUCUCUGGACCAUGACGGACUGUUUAUCUAUUCGAGUCUCCCCUGCCUCAUAUGCUGGUUCAACUUCCAGUGGCUUAUGUAAACGGCUGUGACUCUUCAGAAGUGAACACAACUGGAGGAAAGAGAAAAAUUAGAAUUGGAAUCAGCUAUGAGAGGUAAAUGUUAAGCACCUACCUGCCAGACAGAGAGGCCCCUUGUGAUGUUUGUGAAACCUUCUUAGGAAGCUCCUUGUCUGCUACACCUGUAUGCUGUCCAGCAGCGCGGUUCAGGUCUGUCCUGCCACCAACUGUCACCAUAGGCAGUUUUGGGAAAGACGUCAUUGCAGGCAAGCAAUACUUCUGUAAACAGCGAUUAUUUUCUUAACAUUAACUGUAUCCAUUUUAGGAGUACCUACUGAAAUCACUCUGUCCAUCUAUGCACAUGUAACACUUUGAGGACAGAUUCGAUACUGGGGAGAUUUAGUAACGUUUGACCCAUUCAAGUUUUGCUUAAGACUGGACAAUAACAGACACUUUACAUGAAGGCUACAAGUGUUUUUCCCAUGCUGGUAAGUUCACUGCCAUUUGCAAAGAUCAAAGGCCAACUACUGGAAGAGUUGUUUUUUAUUGCAUCAGAAUAUGCAAAGAAAUACAAAUAUAGAUGAAUGUCUAUCUCACCAAGAAGCCAUUGUUAUCAGUGUUACAUAGUUUUCUUUCGUUUUUGGGAGGCAAACAUAUACUGAGAGAUUGUGAAGUAAAACAAAAUUUACCACAGUAUUUUAUUCAGUUUUGUUACAUAUUAUAUGGCACAGUCAUAGGCAUGAAAAAAUAUACGGCUGGAGACUAAAAUGGAUAAGAAAAUGUCUUGUUUCAUGAAAGUAGUGGUAAAUACAUUUUAAUUUCUUGAAAACAUUUGUAUCUACCUGUGGAUCCCUGAGAAAGAGUGCAUGUUCAAUAAUGUAAGUUAUGUCCACAGCUCCGGGGUAUCGCAUGAGGUAUGUCAUACAGGUUGUAUAGUCCCCAUUCAGCACUGAAAAACAAAUAUGCAGCGCACAUAAUGCAUGACAAAUGGAGGGAUAUAAUUGUAUUUUAAUAAGUAACAAGUAUUUUCUGAUACCAGCUAAAGAAAAUCUAGAAAUAUGUUGUUGCAAACAUAAGUAUUAACCCUCUGAAGCCAAAGCUCAUCUAAAUAAAAAAAAGAUCGAUCAUUUGCUUCUUCAACAUAGAUCAGUCACACAGAACCUAAGAAAUUAUUUAUUUCAAGUUCUAUUUAUUAUAAUCAAAUAGUAGCAGAACUAACACUGAUACUUGAUGGCUAUGAGCAUUGCCACUACUAUAUAGUUGACCAACUCAAAGUUUUCUCCUUCUGCAAAUAUGGCAUCCCACAGUACCAGCAGGUCUUGUAAUGGAAAUUCUCUUCCAAACAAAAGACGCAGCCAACGUCUGUAAAAAAAAACAGAUAUUUACAUCACGAUGACGGAAUGAUAUUUGACCUCUUACAGAUGCUAAUUAACCUUUAUUUUAUGUAAAUAGGAGAUGUAAACCACCAAACUAAGGUUCUGCCAGCCACACUUCAGCUACAUGGUUUAAUGGUUUACAGAUAUAUUACUGUGACAUAAGACCAUACAAUCAGCUGGAUCAUGUGCAUGCAAUGGCACAUGACUGACAGUAUUUCUAUGUCUACAAUUUAAUAUCUCAGCAUAUAGGUAUACAGCCUGUGAAGGUUAAUACUAAGAUUAAUCACUUGAUAUCAUUAAAACUUAAUGCUAAAUAAGGAAAACAGCUUGAAUGAAGGCACAUUAAAUACAGUUGCACCUUAAAAUAAAUAUAUUAAUUAGCACUCAAAAAUUACUAUGUUCCUACAUUCACAUGUACUCACAUUCCAAACAGAGGAAGAGGAAUGUCUAAUUGCUGCAAAUGUUCGUACAACUGUGGGUCAGCGGGGGCCAAAAGAUUAUCCCUAAUCCAGUUCAGCUGUGCAACCACCUCAUUCUCUGACUGAUUCUGAGAACCCUAGAAAACACAUGAAGUUUAAGAAUUAGCAUUGAAGCAGUAACAAGACCAACCAAGAUGAAGAGAUAGCAGGAGAGGAUGUGCAGUUGACAUAACAGAAGAAAUUAAUGCUGCAGCUGGGAAGUUGUUUGCCAUCAUCAUACAGAGUCAUCAUGCUACCACAAUCCACAUAGACUUACUUCAGCUUUCUGGGACAGAGGGUUGUCUUCAGGUUGACUCCUGUGCCAUGGAUCAAGAGACAGUUCUUUGAGAACUUCUGCAUAAUGGUGACGUUGCUGUCGAAGCUGGCUAAGCCACUGAGUUGUGUCAGGUGAGAAAACUCCAAGAAGACAACGCCAACACACACUGCGAAAGCGAGAGGCUCUGAGAUUUCCCAGAACAGCACGACGACGAAGUUCACCAAGAUCUGGAUCAUCUCUCCUGUACAGCUGAGCCCAUUCUUCUCUGAAAUACGAUAUUCAAAAAUAGUUUGAAGUCACUAUCAAUCCAGAUGCACAGUACUACUCUUCUCUAAUAUAACAGUAUCCUGCAUCACAGGUUAUAAUUGAUAACCAUCUAGCAUAACACUAACUUGUCAACAUUAUUUCUUACAAAAGAACAUUAAUAAGAUCAAUGUGCAAAUUGUCUGUAAAAAUUAUAGCAAUUUGCAAACAUUUAUGGUAUAAAACAUAAGUAUUAACUUGUAAUGAAAUUACAAAGAUAUUUAAACUUUCAAAAGUUCCAGUACCAAAAUGAAGCUUAAUUUUUACAACUAGAAUUUGCUGAGCAAAUUCUGGUCACAGAAUUCAGGGACCUUUUAAAAUAUAUAUAGAGAGAAGGGAAAGUAUUGUUUCUUUCAUUUAAUAGUACUUAUGAAUAGAAAGUUGGGUAGAAGCAAGAGCAUUCUGUAAAUUAUUUCCUCACAUUUAUCAGUCUGUAUUUAGAGCAGAAUAUUUAGUCUCAGUUGGCUGUACUCGGAGCUUCCAAUAUCUGGAGCAGGUAUGCUGUUAACCACAUGUUUACUACAAAAAAUUGAAAUUUUAAUUAUCAUGUGCUUACUUUGUCACAUCUGCUAUGUUAACUGUAGGCAAAGUUCAAAAUAAGUCUGUAGUUAAAAAGCAUAUAGAUGUAUGUUGCUUCAGUGUAUAACAUAUAAACAUGAAUUCUUUCAUUCUCUUGUACUCAAGACAGCAGCCAAAAUCUUUAUCAGUUUUAUUGUCAAUAGUCAACAAAGUUAUCAGUCAACAGACAAAUAUGAUAUAGAUUGUAGAAUUCAUUGGAAAUAGAAACUGAACAUAAUCUUAUGUAAAUAUGGUGAUGUAAUGAUUAUGAGCUUAUUAACUGGUAUCACUGAAUAUUUUUUACACCUUGUAUGUUCCUAAAGUGAUGGCUAUGUUAGAAAAUUUCCAUCUGGAAGACUUGAAUUAAAUUUCAAAUGUCAUAAAACACAAGAACAUUUUAAUAGCAUUUAUAAAAAAUUAAAAAAAACUGAGACACUAACCAUCUUGAAAGGUUUCAUCAGAUCAUAGAGGCACUCUAAAUAAUUUUCUCUAAUACCAUUUGACUACUACAGGGGUAUCCAUAUAUUUGAAUCUACUAAGAUCAUUUUCAUAUUAAAAGUUAUCUAGUGAAAGUUACAAAAAACAAUGACAGCAACCUAAUAUAAUGGUAUUUUUGCCAUAAAAAUUAAAACCUGUUAAUAAAAUAUGUACACAGGAAUAUGUUGCAUUUUGUUAAGGAACUAUGCUUCAUGCACCUUUUAAGUGUAUACAAAAAAGAAUGAAUUGAAAUGGCAUAUUUAAUACAAUUUAUAUAAAAUGUACUCAGGUGAACCAACAGGUAUACACAGAUAAACACAGGUAUGAAUCAUGAAUGUUUUUCACACAGACUGAUAAUUGUGAUAAAAAUAAAAUGAGCUGGACAGCCAGGGUCACUGUCCAAUAGAAGA